UUUUUUUUUUCUUUUCUUUUCUUUCUUCUUCUUUUUUUUUUUUUUUUUUUUUUCUGUUUGUGGUCCGGCCUUCUUUUGUGUGUGCGUGUGAUGCAUCUUUAGAUUUUUUUCCCCCACCAGGUGGUUUUUGACACUCUCUGAGAGGACCGGAGUGGAAGAUGGGUGGGUUAGGGGAAGGGAGAAGCAUUAGGAGGGGAUUAAAAUCGAUCAUCGUGGCUCCCAUCCCUUUCCCGGGAACAGGAACACACUACCAGCCAGAGAGAGGAGAAUGACAGUUUGUCAAGACAUAUUUCCUUUUGCUUUCCAGAGAAAUUUCAUUUUAAUUUCUAAGUAAUGAUUUCUGCUGUUAUGAAAGCAAAGAGAAAGGAUGGAGGCAAAAUAAAAAAAAAUCACGUUUCAAGAAAUGUUAAGCUCUUCUUGGAACAAGCCCCACCUUGCUUUCCUUGUGUAGGGCAAACCCGCUGUCCCCCGCGCGCCUGGGUGGUCAGGCUGAGGGAUUUCUACCUCACACUGUGCAUUUGCACAGCAGAUAGAAAGACUUGUUUAUAUUAAACAGCUUAUUUAUGUAUCAAUAUUAGUUGGAAGGACCAGGCGCAGAGCCUCUCUCUGUGACAUGUGACUCUGUCAAUUGAAGACAGGACAUUAAAAGAGAGCGAGAGAGAGAAACAGUUCAGAUUACUGCACAUGUGGAUAAAAACAAAAACAAAAAAAAGGAGUGGUUCAAAAUGCCAUUUUUGCACAGUGUUAGGAAUUACAAAAUCCACAGAAGAUGUUACUUGCACAAAAAGAAAUUAAAUAUUUUUUAAAGGGAGAGGGGCUGGGCAGAUCUUAAAUAAAAUUCAAACUCUACUUCUGUUGUCUAGUAUGUUAUUGAGCUAAUGAUUCAUUGGGAAAAUACCUUUUUAUACUCCUUUAUCAUGGUACUGUAACUGUAUCCAUAUUAUAAAUAUAAUUAUCUUAAGGAUUUUUUAUUUUUUUUUAUGUCCAAGUGCCCACGUGAAUUUGCUGGUGAAAGUUAGCACUUGUGUGUAAAUUCUACUUCCUCUUGUGUGUUUUACCAAGUAUUUAUACUCUGGUGCAACUAACUACUGUGUGAGGAAUUGGUCCAUGUGCAAUAAAUACCAAUGAAGCACAAUCAAGAUUAUGUACUGUGUGUCUGUAAAGGGUCAGUGACAAUGAAAAAGACAGCUUGUUUUGUUCAAAAUAUAGACUGGAUUUCCCAUAGAGCUCUUUUAAUAGGUUUCCAUGACUCAAUAACAUAGCAAAAUGCCUCCAGACCUAAAUAAGGUGUUUACCUACUGAGAGCUACAGAUUUACCCUACAUUUUCACAGCCGGAUUCAAGGUGUUCUAGACUACUUGUAGGCACUUUCAAGAUCCCAUCUGCUGCACUUGACUGAAGAAGUGACCUUUGUGAUUGCGUAGCUCCUAAAAAAAAAAAAAAAAAAAAAAAAGUGACGCGGUCAUUUAACUCAGCUGCAACUUUUCACGGAAAUGCAGGAAAGACUAACUCAUUGAAUGAUCAGUUGCCUACUUGGAAUGCAAUAAGUGGCUUCCACAGCUUAUUUUUGUUUUCCAAUAGAAAAUCACAGCCUGCGGAUGAUCAGUGUGUGCAGAUUUCUCCAGAGGCUGUUUAGAAUGAAAAAUGCUUUCAUGGUUAAGCAAAAAUGUAUAAAAGGGCUUCUGAAGUAAAUUUUUUUCUCUUAUGUAGUUAAAUAGAUCAUUUUGCCAGAAGUUCUGGGUGGACAGAUCAUAGGUAAAAGCAAGUGUGAAAGGAUUUAAGUUUCCAACAAAAUUACAGCACCCAAAGGAUGGGGUAUUUUUCAUAAAGUUAUUUCCUAAAGGAAGGGAUAGUGCAAUUCUGUCCUGAGAUUAAUUUUACAUUCUCCAAAAUACAUUUAAAGUUCUUACUAUAUUUUUAAAUAAGCUUUUUAUUUCAUGACCAUACAGUAAAGAAACCAAAGUAAAGAAUAUUAACUUCUGGCUUAUGCUGCACUUUAAAUGAGCGGAGUAUUCUUUAACAGGGAAAAGUUGAGACUGAAUAUUCUUUUUUGCAAUGGCAUAUUCUAAAGACAAGGCAACCAUCUUCUGAGAAAGGUUAAUGACGUAGAUGUUUUAGAGACCAGCAGAAGGUUGCAUGAACAGUAACAGCCUCAACAAAAGCUGCUAUGAAGUUUAACCCCUUUCCAGCAAAAAAAAAAAAAAAAAAAGGAAAAGGAAAAAGGAGAGCUUCUUUAAGAAUACAAAGAUAAAUACUUAAACAUAUUUUGAAGAACAUAAAAUCAGUCUCAGGAUGAAAUGUCACUAUAAUUUCCCUAGGAACCAAAUAUGGUUAAUAUCCAUCCACCCCCGACCAUGAGUAUGUAAGAUGCAUUUUCUUAGGGGUUUUGUCCUUCUUUGUUUGAAAUUACUAGACACUGAAGUACCAGGUAAAUGCUUCACUUUCUUGGUUUCCUGUUUAUUUACUUAUUUUGUCUAGAUAAGUCUUCACAUUUAAAUAAAAAGAAAUCUUCCCAGCCCAAAACAUAUACGCAGGCCCUUCAAAUCUCAGGUCUUAAAAUCACUCAGGUCUUAAAAUCAUGAAAGUCCUUUAAGCUUUAAGAACAAAUGUGUAUAAUUUAACUACUUAGUACACAGGUUUAGUCACUUUAGUGAGUUAGAGGAAACCACUGUAAUCUUGGGGCCGGUUUCUAUGUAUUGGCAGGAAAUAGAAAAGAUUUUUGUGUGAUCUCCCAAGAUCUCCAACUGAAAAUUACAUGGAUUCAGAAACAGACCAUGUCAGUGAUUCCAAAUCCCCAUGAAGACUACUUUUUGUCGCUUUUGAAGAAGGCAGCCAUUGAUUUAUAAUAGGAAAUGUGGGGAGCUGGGCUGUCAGUCCCAGUAGCGAUGGCAGUGGGAGGAGAGAGCAGCCAGUCCUGCUUAAUCUGGUGAGAUUGUGCACUGCAGAAAUAGGAAGAAGAAGACAUUGAGUGUGCAAAAAGGCAGCCUUACCCAUGGGCUUGUGUGUAUCAAAGUACCAAAAGCAUAAACCUUAAAAUCAAA
Molecule: long non-coding RNA, 3040 nt
Filed under: Homo sapiens (human)
Lineage: Eukaryota; Metazoa; Chordata; Mammalia; Primates; Hominidae
Description: non-protein coding lnc-ADRB1-3:1
Source: RNAcentral